UCAGGUAGGGAUACCCGCUGAACUUAAGCAUAUCAAUAA
This 39-nucleotide ribosomal RNA is filed under the name Aspergillus aculeatus. RNAcentral's name for it is "partial 28S ribosomal RNA". Lineage: Eukaryota; Fungi; Ascomycota; Eurotiomycetes; Eurotiales; Aspergillaceae. The record is from RNAcentral. RNAcentral also lists the same sequence under 4 other names.